This 219-nucleotide ribosomal RNA is filed under the name uncultured bacterium. RNAcentral's name for it is "partial 16S ribosomal RNA". It matches the Rfam family "Bacterial small subunit ribosomal RNA", at positions 15 to 225 of the family's 1533-position model. The record is from RNAcentral.
GAUCAUGGCUCAGGAUGAACGCUAGCUACAGGAUUAACACAUGCAAGUCGAGGGGCAGCAUGGUCUUAGCUUGCUAAGACUGAUGGCGACCGGCGCACGGGUGAGUAACACGUAUCCAACCUGCCGUCUACUCUUGGACAGUCUUCUGAAAGGAAGAUUAAUACAAGAUGGCAUCAUGAGUCCGCAUGUUCACAUGAUUAAAGGUAUUCCGGUAGACGA